CUACGGGUGGCUCCAGUGGGGAAUAUUGCACAAUGGAGGAAACUCUGAUGCAGCAACGCCGCGUGGAGGAUGACACUUUUCGGAGCGUAAACUCCUUUUAUAUAGGAAGAAGAUGACGGUACUAUAUGAAUAAGCGCCGGCUAACUCCGUGCCAGCAGCCGCGGUAAUACGGAGGGCGCAAGCGUUACUCGGAAUCACUGGGCGUAAAGAGCGUGUAGGCGGAUUAAAAAGUCAGAAGUGAAAUCCUAUAGCUUAACUAUAGAACUGCUUCUGAAACUCUUAAUCUAGAAUAUGGGAGAGGUAGAUGGAAUUUCUGGUGUAGGGGUAACAUCCGUAGAGAUCAGAAGGAAUACCGAUUGCGAAGGCGAUCUACUAGAACAUUAUUGACGCUGAGACGCGAAAGCGUGGGGAGCAAACAGGAUUAAAUACCCGGGUAGUC
Molecule: ribosomal RNA, 439 nt
Filed under: uncultured bacterium
Lineage: Bacteria
Description: partial 16S ribosomal RNA
Rfam family: Bacterial small subunit ribosomal RNA
Source: RNAcentral